AAAGGAAUAGACGGGGACUCGCACAAGCGGUGGAGCAUGCGGUUUAAUUCGAUGCAACGCGAAGAACCUUACCAGGUCUUGACAUCCCAUUGACCGGCUUAGAGAUAAGCCUUUCCUUCGGGACAAUGGUGACAGGUGGUGCAUGGUUGUCGUCAGCUCGUGUCGUGAGAUGUUGGGUUAAGUCCCGCAACGAGCGCAACCCCUAUCAUUAGUUGCCAUCAUUAAGUUGGGCACUCUAAUGAGACCGCCGGUGACAAACCGGAUGAAGGUGGGGAUGACGUCAAAUCAUCAUGCCCCUUAUGACCUGGGCUACACGCGUGCUACAAUGGCCAGUACAAAGAGUUGCGAUACCGCGAGGUGGAGCUAAUCUCAUAAAGCUGGUCUCAGUUCGGAUUGUAGUCUGCAACUCGACUACAUGAAGGUGGAAUCGCUAGUAAUCGCGAAUCAGAAUGUCGCGGUGAAUACGUUCUCGAGUCUUGUACACACCGCCCGU
This 493-nucleotide ribosomal RNA is filed under the name uncultured bacterium. RNAcentral describes it as "bacterial SSU rRNA". It matches the Rfam family "Bacterial small subunit ribosomal RNA", at positions 903 to 1397 of the family's 1533-position model. The record is from RNAcentral.